GAGAGAGAGAGAGGAUGGUGAAGAGAGAAGAAGAGAGAAGAGAGAAGAGAGAGAGAGGAUAACAGAUCGGAAUGAGAGGUGAGGGAGACGAGAGAAAGAGAAUUAGGGUAAGGGUAUAAACGUAUUUUUCAUAAGAAACAUUGGAAUGGGAUAAUGAAACUGUUUUUCAUUCAAAUGGGCUUUACGAGCCUUGUUUUUGGGUAUUUGGGCAUUUUCCCUACAAUAAUUGAGCAAUUUGCCGAUUUCUCAUCUAAAUUACCAAUAGUCUGAAACUGCAAAUAAAACCAUUAAUAGUUUCAAAAGAAGAUCUAGCACAAAAUCUGGAACAUGCUAUGAAAAGGUUUGAUUUUGAUUAUAUUGCGAGACUCACCAAGAACAAUAUAUAUGUUUAGAUCAAAUCCCUUAUAAAUUAUGUUUAAUUAGAUCGAAUCACUUAAAACAAUACUAUUCAUAAAGUAUUGAAUAAAUAAUGACACACAUAGACAGAUCACAGCUCCAGGAAUGAAGAUACCAUUAGGGAUGGGCAUAAAAAACCAAAAUCAUGAUCUCAUCCCGGAAUUUGACGAGAUGAGACGAGAUUUAAACUUGAAAACACUAGGCCCAUCUCGUCCCGUCCCGUUGACGGGACGAGCCGUGGGACUGAAAGUUUGAGGCCUGUCCUGUCCCAUAUGUAAAUCAAAUUUAAUCUUAGUCGUUGGUUUUUUGACCUUUUUCAUCUCAAUCGUUGGUUUGAUACCUAAUACUAACCUAGACCCUCAUCUCAUUCGCAUAUCAUUGGUUUUAUACCUGAUACUAACCUUCCUCUCAAUUGUUGAUUAUCACUGUUAUGUUUUCUAGUUUGUUGUUGAACAUUAUGAGAUAUGGAUUUUAGAUUAUGGAUAUUUUCUAGUUUGCUUGCUGAACAUUAUGAGAAUAUGAGACAUUAUGGAUUAUGGAUGUUAUAUUGUUAUGUAUUUGGGUUAAUGACUUAAUGUAGAACUAGGCAUUAGGAUUUGUGAUUUUGAGAUUGAUGUAGAAUCAACAAACGCCAUCAGACAUGUUUUUCCUUUUUUUUUUAAAUUGGGUAAAGACGGCGGGAUUGGGCCCGUCCCGUGUGCAAUGUCUGUGAUGGGCCAUGAGAUUAGCCCAAUCUUGUCUCAUACCCAACCCUAGAUACUAUGCCUGCAUCCUACGCAUAAACAUA
RNAcentral lists this long non-coding RNA (1183 nucleotides) under Fragaria vesca (wild strawberry). RNAcentral's name for it is "long non-coding RNA (FVES_LNC004001)". The record is from RNAcentral. Lineage: Eukaryota; Viridiplantae; Streptophyta; Magnoliopsida; Rosales; Rosaceae.